CGUGGCCUACGGGGGGCAGCAGUGAGGAAUAUUGGUCAAUGGGCGCGAGCCUGAACCAGCCAAGUCGCGUGAGGGAGGACGGCCCUACGGGUUGUAAACCUCUUUUGCCGGGGAGCAACGGGCGUCACGUGUGGCGCCACUGAGAGUACCCGGAGAAAAAGCAUCGGCUAACUCCGUGCCAGCAGCCGCGGUAAUACGGAGGAUGCGAGCGUUAAUCGGAAUUACUGGGCGUAAAGCGCUCGUAGGCGGUAUGUCAAGUCAAGGGUGAAAUCCCCGCGCCCAACGUGGGAACUGCCUUUGAAACU
RNAcentral lists this ribosomal RNA (305 nucleotides) under uncultured bacterium. Its description in RNAcentral is "bacterial SSU rRNA". It matches the Rfam family "Bacterial small subunit ribosomal RNA", at positions 333 to 634 of the family's 1533-position model. The record is from RNAcentral.